AUGGGUGAGUAACACGUGGGUAACCUGCCCUGCACAGGGGGAUAACAGCUGGAAACGGCUGUUAAUACCGCAUAUGCACACGCUGCCGCAUGGCAGGGGGUGGAAAGAUUUAUCGGUGCAGGAUGGGCCCGCGUCGGAUUAACUAGUUGGCAGGGUAACGGCCUACCCAAGGUGAUGAUCCGUAGCCGACCUGAGAGGGUGACCGGCCACAUUGGGACUGAGACACGGCCCAAACUCCUACGGGAGGCAGCAGUGGGGGAUAUUGCACAAUGGGCGGAAGCCCUGAUGCAGCGACGCCGCGUGAAGGAAGAAGUAUUUCGGUAUGUAAACUUCUAUCAGCGGGGAAGAAGAUGACGGUACCCGACUAAGAAGCCCCGGCUAACUACGUGCCAGCCGCGGC
Molecule: ribosomal RNA, 400 nt
Filed under: uncultured bacterium
Lineage: Bacteria
Description: bacterial SSU rRNA
Rfam family: Bacterial small subunit ribosomal RNA
Source: RNAcentral